This 381-nucleotide ribosomal RNA is filed under the name uncultured Chlorophyceae. Its description in RNAcentral is "SSU rRNA". It matches the Rfam family "Eukaryotic small subunit ribosomal RNA", at positions 585 to 972 of the family's 1831-position model. Lineage: Eukaryota; Viridiplantae; Chlorophyta; Chlorophyceae. The record is from RNAcentral.
CCAGCUCCAAUAGCGUAUAUUUAAGUUGUUGCAGUUAAAAAGCUCGUAGUUGGAUUUCGGGCGGGUGACGGUGGUCCGCCUCUGGUGUGCACUGCUGUUCAUCCGCCUUUCUGUCGGGGACGGGCUCCUGGGCUUCACUGUCCGGGACUCGGGUUCGACGAUGUUACUUUGAGUAAAUUAGAGUGUUCAAAGCAGGCGAUCGCCCUGAAUACAUUAGCAUGGAAUAGCACGAUAGGACUCUGGCCUAUUCUGCUGGUCUGUAGGACCGGAGUAAUGAUUAAGAGGGACAGUCGGGGGCAUUCAUAUUUCAUUGUCAGAGGUGAAAUUCUUGGAUUUAUGAAAGAUGAACUUCUGCGAAAGCAUUUGCCAAGGAUGUUUUCA